This 253-nucleotide ribosomal RNA is filed under the name uncultured bacterium. Its description in RNAcentral is "partial 16S ribosomal RNA". It matches the Rfam family "Bacterial small subunit ribosomal RNA", at positions 524 to 776 of the family's 1533-position model. The record is from RNAcentral.
UACGGGGGGGGCAAGCGUUGUUCGGAAUUACUGGGCGUAAAGGGCUCGUAGGUGGCCAACUAAGUCAGACGUGAAAUCCCCAGGCUCAACUUGGGAACUGCGUCUGAUACUGGAUGGCUUGAAUUCGGGAGAGGGAUGCAGAAUUCCAGGUGUAGCGGUGAAAUGCGUAGAUAUCGGGAGGAACACCAGUGGCGAAGGCGGCUACCUGGCCCAAUACUGACACUCAGGUGCGACAGCGUGGGGAGCAAACAGG